This is a non-coding RNA of Pelobates cultripes (western spadefoot toad), 219 nucleotides long. NCBI's taxonomy places the organism in Eukaryota, Metazoa, Chordata, Amphibia, Anura, Pelobatidae. The record is from the annotation of a GenBank genome assembly.
GGUGGGCGUGCCAAAUGCUCCAGGCACGCCCCUGACUGCAUCCAUAACUUUGUGCUUCCGAAACCCCUACGAUACGUUGUAGUAGUUUUGAUACUUGGUGGGUCACUUUUUUUAAGGGCUGAUGCUGAUGGAAAAACCCUCCUUGGGUGACGUUAACCCGAAGUACGCCUCUGAUCAUGAUUGGCUACAUCCCCAUCUGGAUUGAUGACUACUCACUGG